Eptesicus fuscus (big brown bat) is the source of this 105-nucleotide small nuclear RNA. Lineage: Eukaryota; Metazoa; Chordata; Mammalia; Chiroptera; Vespertilionidae. The record is from RefSeq and is a predicted model, not a curated record.
GUGCUCACUUUGGCAGCACAUAUACUAAAAUUGGAACAAUAGAGAUUAUUAGCAUGACCCCUGUGCAAGGAUGACAUGCAAAUUCAUGAAGCCUUCCAUAUUAAA